RNAcentral lists this long non-coding RNA (9492 nucleotides) under Citrus maxima (pomelo). RNAcentral's name for it is "long non-coding RNA (CMAX_LNC003320)". The record is from RNAcentral. Lineage: Eukaryota; Viridiplantae; Streptophyta; Magnoliopsida; Sapindales; Rutaceae.
UGUGAGGGCAAAGGCUGAAAGGUAUGGGAAGAAAAGUUCAUGCUGUCAAUGCUUGCAGGAAUAUCAAUCUCUUGAAAUGGAGGUUUGCAUAGUUUGUGAUGCAAUGUAUUGUUGUAACUGUGUGGUGAGAGCAAUGGGGUCAACACCUGAAGGAAGAAAAUGUGUUUCCUGUGUUGAUUCCAGGUUACAUGUGUGCAUGCCCAUGUCAUCUAAUGGAAUAGGAAGUUCUGGUAAAUCACAUAGCCUCAACUGUCACGAUAAUAUGCCUGUAAACAAUGAGUUGCCCGAUAAUAGGAACGAUGGCGCUAAUGCAGGAUUUCAUGAUUAUAUGAAUCCUGCUAACUCAGAGUCAACGGAGUCAGAUCUAAGUUCACACAGUGUUUCCUCUGAGGUGUUUUCUUGCAAAGAGGGGGGUUUUAAUAAGGAAGAAACUCCUGGCCAUAUUAGAAAACCAUCAGUCGUUACUUUCCGUGACCCUGACCCAAGUGAUGCAGUUUAUGAAGAAUCUGAUUAUUCUGAGGUUGAAAGCAUCCAUGAGAGGCCAAAGGCUGUAAGGCUAGGGAAGAAAGGUUCGUGCUAUCGAUGCUCGAAAGGAAAUCGGUUCACUGAGAAGGAGUUCUGUAUUGUUUGUGGUGCAAAAUAUUGUUCAAACUGUGUGCUGAGGGCAAUGGGGUCAAUGCCAGAAGGAAGAAAAUGUGUUACUUGCAUUGGUUUCAGCGUGGUAGAUUCUAAGAGACGAAACCUGGGGAAGUGUUCUCGGAUGCUCAAAAGGUUGCUGACUGAGACAGAAGUUAAACAAAUAAUGAUAUCUGAAAUAUCGUGCAAAGCAAAUCAGUUACCACCAGAGCGUGUUUUUGUGAAUGGUGAAGCUUUAUCUCAGAAAGAGCUCGUUAUACUGCUUAGCUGCCCAAACCCUCCAAAAAAGCUAAAUCCAGGAACCUAUUGGUACGAUAAAGUGUUGGGUUAUUGGGGAGAGGUAAACAUCAGAAACUGUUGCUAUUAUUUAAUUUUCUUUUCUUGUUUAUUUUGAUUCCAUUGCACCAUGAUAGAAUUAAUAUUUGAAUUCCAUUGCACCAUGAACAGGAAGGACACCGGCCUUGCCAGAUUAUAAGCCCCCAGCUGAAUGUCGGGGGUCAGAUAAUGAAAAAUGCUAGCAACGGAAAUACAAAUGUCAUGAUCAAUAAUCGGGAGAUUACUAGAAGAGAGCUCUGGAUGCUUAAGGUUAUUUCAGUGGGCAAAUUUGUGUGUUCAUUUGAAAUUCAGUGUUUCUAAAAAUAAGAUCCAUUCUAUUCUGUAUUUCUGUUAAAUGCUGCAGUUAGCAGGAGUGCAAUGUGAAGGACAACCUCACUUUUGGGUGAGCGCAGAUGGUUCCUACACGGAAGAGGGAAUGAAAAAUGAAAAGGGGCGUAUAUGGGACAAGGUAUGUCUGCAUAUGGAUGUGCAUUGGCUUUCUUAGUUAAACUAUCCCUUAAUUUCUGAUUUGUGAUUACUGUGUAUGUACUUUACAGAGUACAAUAAAACUAGUUUGUGCUUUCUUGUCUUUGCCAACCCCGCCUGAUUCUGAGAAUCCUUGUGGCAAUGAAGUGAAUGGUGUUAACCAGUGUGAGCAGCAAAGACUUAUUAAUCUUCUUCUUCUUGGUGAACACAAAUCUGGCACGAGUACCAUAUAUAAACAGGUGAGAUUGAUUGGAACCUGUAAGAAACUUUGUCUAAUACACGUGCUAUUAUUCAUAUACUAUUAAUCUGACUGGUGAAUAUUGAAUGGCUUAUAUUUAUCAUAUAAUGCAGCCAGCUUGUGUUGUCGUUUUGCUUCAUGUCUUGUCAUUUCUAGGACUUCAAGAUUUUAGAAGGAAAGAUGUUGUAGAGCAUGUUAGUUGAUUUUUAAAAUUUGUAUUAUCUGUAGUGUACUUAUUCACAAAGAUGACAUAUUAUGUUAUUUGACUACUAGCUUAAGAUUUCAUUAUUCAACAACAUUCAUCGGAGGUACAGUAAAUUGUGUAAUUGCACUUUGGUAUGAAGAGGGUUUUUAUUGUGCAUAAAAAGCUACAUACAAGAUGGUCUCAUAUCAUCACAUUGCCGCUGAUGCUUAAAAUAUAGUAGCGGAAAUCCUUUCUCCUUCUUGGUUACAUGCUGUGUUUUGUGACUUUAUGGGAAAAUUAUGCCUUUCUAGAUCAUGUUAAGUUUUUGUAUUUGUAAUAAGGCAAAGGCCAUAAGUCUUCGUUAAGGUCUUAAGACUGAAAUUUUGAUUCCAUGGUGAAAAUUGAACAUCAAGUUUUAUUCUUUCUUUGGGCUGUAAUUUAAGCCUUUUAUCAUUUUUUUUUAUUUUGGAUCCCUUUUGUUACCUUUUUCUUUUUCUCCCUUUUUAGACAUUGAUGCAAAGGCACAUGAUGACAGAAAUGUUUGUUUCAGGCCAAACUUCUGUUUAAGGUUCCUUUCUCUGAAGAAGAGCGUCAAAAUAUUAAGUUCAUGAUCCAAAGUAAUCUGUACUUCUAUAUUGGUAUUUUGCUUGAGGGCCGUGAGCGAUUUGAAGCAGAAAGAUUGUUUGGGAAGGGAAAAAGACAGGUUAUUGACGAGCCAGGCCCUUCAGGUAACAUAAAGAUUAGAUUUACUUCUCUUUUACAUUGCUUGUAUGAUUUUCUGUUUAUUGAAUGUUCCAUGAGAUCUUGUUUGGAGCAUGCAGAUGACGUAUAAAAAUGUUUGCCUUUGUUAUCUACUGUUCUGAGUUAUUUUUGGUAGAUAUUUGACAUAUGCAUAUCACUUUUUUCUGGGAAGUCUAGCCCGUCAAAAGUCAAGUUCUUUGUUAUUAUUUUACAUGCAUGGAGAGCAUUUUUACUUUUGCUUGAUUUUUUGGACUUCUCACUUCUCAGUGCCUUUAGCGUUAAAAUUAUCAAUUGUGUUGGAUUGAAGUUCAUCACAUUGGCAAGUUGACCCUGAGGGUGGGAGGGACAACUAUGAUGUCCAGUAUUUUGUACAUUUAAUUAUUGAGAAUUUAAUAACUGUUGUCUCAUUGAAAUUUAAGUAUAUUUUAAUUCCGUACCUUCACUAUGUUCUUCUUGUGGGCACAAUUCUGGCCUGUGGUUUUGAUUUCAAUAUCUAGUAGAACAUGAAAUUUGGAGAUAAAUCAUUGCCUGCAGCCAAUUAGAACUUUCUUGUGACUAACCUGUGCCAUCAGCAGUAAACCUCAAAUUUCUUUAAAAUGUUCUUUUAACAUGUUUAACUAUUUAAAAUCAUUGGAGUAAAGAGCCUAUUGAAAUAGCAUCACAUAGCUUGUGAACAUAUUUGAUGCUUCUUGGUGGUUGCAAAUUUCAAAUUUUUUUUAAAGAAAAAUAAUCAUAUUUCUUUCUUUCCUUAUUUUCUAGUUUUUUUUUUAAAAAAAUUUCAGAGUAAAAAAUAUCCAGCAUGAAGAAAUUUAAAUUUAUAAUUAGUUUAGCAAUUGGGAGGACUGAUUUUAUUCAGGUACAACACUAAUACAGGGCAGAUUGAUGAUAAAAUGAUGUAUUCCAUCAGUCCAAGACUGAAAGCUUUCUCUGAUUGGCUUCUCAAAGUCAUGGCAUCUGGUAAUUUGGAAGCCAUAUUCCCAGCCGCUACCCGUGAAUAUGCACCAUUUAUUGAGGAGUUGUGGAGGGAUGCAGGCUUCCAAGCCACAUACAACCGGAGAAAUGAAUUAGACAUGCUUCCCAGACAUGCCACCUAUUUCCUAGAACGGGUUAGAUCACUAUCUAUGGUCAUUGUCUGCUGAGUAUUUCAUUAUUCAUAUUUGGUUCAGCUUCAGUAUGUAUCUUUUGUUUUUGGAUCAAUAGAGUCUUGAUUGUUUAUUUCAUUUGCCUCAUGAUUGUCCAGUGAUCUUGAAUAGCAUCCUCUAUUCCAUAGACAUAAUUGUCAAUGUACAUAUGACCUGCACCGUAAUUUAAAAAUUCCAAGUAUAUAUUUAAUAUUCUUGUAUUUUGGCUUCUUAUUAAUCAUGUGCUUUCUUAUCCCAUGUCAUUUCAGAAAACAUAUUUCAUAAAAGAUAUUUUUUGAAACUAAAAUGAAAGGCAUUCUGAAUUCACACCAUCAGUUCUCUUCGUGUAUUGUUUCUCAAAAGCUUGAACGAGGAAAGAUGAUUGUUUUGAUUUGUACUUCACUGUUUGCUAUUUUUUUCAAUAUUAACAUUAGUUUCCCUCUCAGGCUGUUGAGAUUUCAAGGACAGGCUAUGAGCCCUCAGAUAUGGAUAUCUUGUAUGCUGAGGAAAUUACAUCAAGCAAUGGGCUUUCGUCCAUGGUAUUUUCAUUACCGGAGCAGACACAAGAAAACUCCAUAAGUGACUCUUCCAAUCAGAAUGAUCCCUUGCUCAGGUUACUGUCUAAUCUGUGCUUUAAAUUUACGUAUAAGCCAAACAUGCAUUGCACUUUGCCAGAUUUUUGCUAUUGCUGUUGCUGUCAAAUGCCAUUGUGAGAUUUAGCUACCGAAGGAAAGGACUUCAUGGGUAGUAAUUCUGGCUUGCAGAUUGAAUUUUGGGUAGCUUAACUCAGUUUGAAUGGGGAUAUUGUCAUCAAUGAAUUGAGUCUGCAAUUCUGUUGGAACUGGAAGUUAUUAGCUAAGUUAGUGGUCCCACUUGGCUUGGCAAGACACAGAAAGAAUAAUCAGUUAAUUGCCUUUCAACUUCAAGAAUACUUUAAAUUUACCAGCAUUUCAUACUUGAGUUUUAGCUAUUGAUUUAUUUCUCUUCUUUGGCAUGAAAUGUUUUAGCAAUCAAAUAUGAAUAAUCUUUUACAGCUGUGAUGGAUCUUUGGCAUAAGUUUCUUGAAAGUGGGGAACGAUGUAUGAUUGAUUAUAAAUUGUUCAUCUAACUUACCAAUUUUUGCUUUGCACUUGCAGCUAUCAACUCAUUAGAGUGCAUCCAAGAAGCCUCGGGGAGAACUGCAAGUGGCUAGAAAUGUUUGAAGAUGUUGAUAUGAUCCUCUUUUGUGUUUCUUUGACUGACUACGAUGAAUAUUUUGAAGAUAGCAAAGGAUUUCUCACCAACAAGAUGUUGGCAAGCAGGCAGCUCUUCCAAAACAUUGUCAUUCAUCCAACCUUCAAUCAAAAGAACUUCCUUCUGAUACUCAACAAGUAUGAUAUGUUAGAGGAAAAGAUUGAAGAAGUUCCUCUCUCUCGAUGUGAAUGGUUUGAAGACUUCAAUCCGGUGAUCAGCCAUAAUCACCAUAGCACUAGUAGAAGAACUAGCAACACACCACUGGCUGUAUCUGCCGCCCACUACAUUGCAGUGAAGUUCAAGAGGUUGUUCGAUUCUCUAACUGGUCGUAAGUUGUUUGUUUCAGUAGUUACUGCCUUGGAGCCUGAGACUGUAGAUGAAGCUCUCAAUUAUGCAAAGGAGAUUCUGAAGUGGGAGGAAGAGGAACCUGUCUACACUAACAUUGAGUCAACUGAUUACGAGGCAAGCUCAUCAUCAUGAAUUUUCUUCUCGGGUUGAAUUUUGCUCAUCCAUCCUCAGUUAUACAAAACAUUGGAAAGGAUUUUUUUUUUUUUCCAAAGAUAGAAGAACAUCAGAAGAAAAUACAUUGGGUCAAGCACAUGCUUGUGUAUACUAAUCCAGAUUUGCAUAGAAGUUAGGGAGAUUAAGAUUCUUUCCUAGAGCUGUAAAGAACUGUCGUUUUGCCAUUUCAAUUAAGAUUUAGUAAAUAAAAGAAGAAUAAUUACUUUGCACAAUGAGACACAUAGCUGACAAGCUUGCAUAAAUACAAACGGACAUGGAAUUCAUUUUCGUUGCCUGAAUUUAACUGACGGAUUACAUAUCUUGUCUACAAACAAACAUGAAAAAAAAGACCUUUUUAACUACAUAAGGCUUCACAGAAAGAUUGAAUACACAUCAACAAGGCACAAACCGGUCCAUAAGCAAACAGAUAGUAGUCUCUGAUAUUGUACUUUCAUCUUCAACCUCUUUGGUGCUCUCCUUUUUAUCUUCUUUCCCACGUACUUGUUCUUUCUUAGCUCUUAACACAAACGGCUUCCUGCCUUUAACCUUCUCUCCCAGCUUCGCAAGCUCACCCAUGCAUAUCUCCACAACUGCCGACAUUUUCACUGCGAUAACCAAGAACCCACUUGGAAUUUUCAGCUGGCUCUUUCUUUCUUGUUGAUCUUUCUUUAUUGAAUAUGAAACGAGAAGCAACGUGGGGUUUAUAAAGAAGAGAAGGCGAGCAAAAGUCCACAUAGAAUUUGGCGGGUUCUGGAGACCCGCUGGUUUUGACUGUUGGGGAGAAAAAUCAAUGUGUGGAUGCCCACAGAGAUGCCGUUUUGAGAACCUUCUGUUCCAUUUAUCUUUCUUUGGAUUGGAUAUUCCCGCGUUUGCAAGAAAAUAUCCUUUUGCGUGACAGUUCUAAUGUGUGACGACUCACACAUUAAUUAUCAAUGCUCAAUUUCAAAACUAACCUCUAGUUCUUAACUUGGAGUAUUUGAUCAAACGGUGAGCUAUUAAUAUCUUACAUUGUUUUAUUAAUUUAGAGUUACAUCUUAAAACAUUUUAUUAGCACAGACUGACAGACACGUAACAAUUUUAUAUUACUAUAUAAAAUCUAAUAAAAUUAGACUCAUUAAUAUAAUAUUUGAUUAUAUAAUAAAAGAGUCUAUAAAAAUUUAUUCUGAUCAAAUAAAUAAAUAAUAAUUAGAGUGAUUUAUCCCGUGAUAUGGUUUUAAACCGCACCAAUUUUUUUUUUAAAAACUUAAAAAGAUCUUUUUAGGGUAGAGUUGUAUAGCAAGAUGCUAAUUUUAUUUUUAAAUUUAUAUUUUAUCAAUUAAAUUAGAGGUUUUUAGGAAAUAAAAUUUAAAAAGGGUAUUGUAAGGAUUUUAGAGGGGUGUUAGAAGCCCCACUCUUUUGUACUAGUGCUACGGACAUAUGGUUACAAUUGAUAUUGGCCUAUGGGUAAAGCCCUGUAUUUUAUGUUAUCCACUAUAAUUCUAGGUGAACUUAUUGAGGCUAAUCUUGAAUUAGGGGUGGACAAAUACUUCAAUCCAAUUGAAUCUGAAUCGCAAUGCAGCGAUGCACAUACAAGCACAAAGUUUUGAUCCAAUCCAAUUUAUAUUCGGAUUUAAUCGGAUUGUAUUAUAAGUUUGGGUUGAGUUCAGAUUACUUUUUUUUUUCCAAUUUGUUUAAUCCAAAAUCCAAUCGCGUUAAUUCGAACCUGAAUUUUCCUACCCCUACAACUAUCAUUAGAGGAUAUAAUUAAAAAGAAAUGAGUUAUACGAUUAUUUGCAAUAAUUCAUGUCUAAAGCUAUGAAGCAAAUACCCAAACAUCAUCAGCAAAUAAUUAAUGUCUUAUUUAUAAGUUUGAAAACGAAAUAACCCCAUCGAUAGCGCUUCCACAUUGUAAAUCGCACUUAUUCCAUUACAAACAAACAAUUAAGUACCAUACCAUAACCUAAAUUUCUAUCUUAAAAAUGGUUCCUUAUCUAAAUAUAAUAAUUAGUCAUUGAAAAAUCCAUAAAAUUUAAUAUACAAUCACCGACCUUAUGAUUGAUGUAAAAUGCAUUUUUUUUUCAAUUUUAUUUUGUCAUACACCCACCACUUGUUUUCUAUAUUAACAUAAAUUCCAAUUUUUUCAUUUAUUAAUAUUUUAAUGCGAUCACAAUACUCGUUCCAAGAUGUAUUAUAUAGGAUUAAUAUUAUGACAUAGUCUCAAGUCUGACCUAUCUCAACUUAGGUAGUUGAACGUACUUGACCAAAUUACCCUUUCUUAGCGCCAAAAUUCAGUUAGGUACAAUCAAUCGCAGCAGCAAGUACUUUGAAAUUUUGAAACGAAGCACACAUGUUUCGUUCUGGCGUGACUGAUCAGUUCCUCGCAGCUUCCUCUUCAACCUCAAAGCGUUGACGAAGGAAAAAUGAAAAGAGUCUUCACUGGUGAGAGCACAACUCUACAGGAAAGAAUUCACAUUUUCUUUGUUCUUUAUUAUUUCUUUCAACUGUCACUUUGCCUUCAUGAUUUUCAUUUUCUUCAUUCUCUUCGUGGCAGCCUCCCUUUUCUCCAAUUCCUAAUAAACGCCAAAAAUGCUUGGUUUAGUUCUCUUAUUGAUUGAUUUUGCUUUCUGGGUUUGUGAGAUAUGUUGAUUUUGCUUCAUGGGUUGUUUUUUCAAUUAGUUAUAUUUUGUGGGUUUUUGAAAUAUUUGGUCAUGCUUCAUCUGUGUAUUUGAUGAUCAUUUCGUUUUGCUUCAUGCUUCUUAAAUCAUUGAAAUGAUUGAUUAAGUUUCUUGUAUGCUUUGAUGGAUUGUUGAAGUAAUUGAUUUUGCUCCGUGGGUAUGUUGAACUAUUGGCUUUUAUUUAUUGGGGGUUUUUUAAUUAGUGUUUUAAUUGGUUUAUUGGUUUAUUGAAAUAGGGUUACUGGUUUUGAGUUGAUUUUGAGUAGGGUUUACAAAAUGGCUCAGCUUUUGAGGAAAAUUCUGCCUGUUGUGCCAUUGAGAUCAAAACCUUAUGAUGAUGAUGAGGAUGAUAAAAAUAACACUGAAUAUUCAUUUGCCGUUGAGUAUUCUGGCCCUCUGAUCAGUUCUGAUAUUCCCCUGGCAUCGCCAAUAGUUGUUGACCAAAUCCCCAUUGCUGUUACGGUUGCCUCUCCUUCCUUGUUAAGAGAUAGGUCGUUGCCAGUAAUCCAACCAACUGUAAAAAGUACUCCAGGAGGCAGAAGACGGUUGAAGGAGCCUGAAUUAAGUUCUGAACCUACAUUACGUAGUAAUUCAUUAACCAAUUCCGGAGCGUCCUUGACUGGUCCUAAUGUGUCCUGUGAAUCACAAAGUUUGGUAGAUAGCUCAGGUGAUGUUGGAUGUGCAACUGGUGAUUACUCCCAGCCCAAGUCAGUUAAUGGAGUUAGAAGUUCCAGUAAAUUCAGAAGUCCUGAUGCUCAAGAUAAUUCAUCUGACGUAAUAAGAAGUUCUGCUAAACUGAAUAGUCUUGAUCGUCAUGAUAAUUUGUGUGUAAUUCUAAAAUUAUCUGAUGGUAGUGAAGAAGGUGCAGAUGCAGGCCUGCAAAAUGGUAUAAAUCCUGCCAAUUUGGAUUUAACAGAUUCUGGUUUAAGUUCACAUGAACAUACAUCAAAGUUUUUUUCUUGCAAUGAGGGAUAUUUUGGUGAUGAAGAAACUCCUUCCAAUGUUAGAGGAUCAUCAGUUGUUAUUUCUGAUGAUCCUGAGACAAGUGAUAUAGUCCAUGAAGAAUCUGAUAACUCUGAAAGCGUCCAUCUGAGAGCAAAGGCUGAAAGAUAUGGGAAGAAAAGUUCAUGCUGUCAAUGCUUGCAGGAAUAUCAAUCUCUUGAAAUGGAGGUUUGCAUAGUUUGUGAUACAAUGUAUUGUUGUAACUGUGUGGUGAGAGCAAUGGGGUCAACACCUGAAGGAAGAAAAUGUGUUUCCUGUGUUGAUUCCAGGUUAGAUGUGUGCAUGCCCAUGUCAUCUAAUGGAAUAGGAAGUUCUGGUAAAUCAAAUAGCCUCAACUGUUACGAUAAUAUGCCUGCAAACAAUGAAUUGCCCGAUAAUAGG